Molecule: ribosomal RNA, 134 nt
Filed under: Microthrissa congica (bigscale pellonuline)
Lineage: Eukaryota; Metazoa; Chordata; Actinopteri; Clupeiformes; Clupeidae
Description: partial 16S ribosomal RNA
Source: RNAcentral
ACUAAACAGCUAGCUCAAAAAUUAAAAAUAAAAUUAACACCAUAAACCAACCAUCAAAAACUAAAAACACUAACUAAACCAUUCGACCACCCCAGUACGGGCGACAGAAAAGGACUAACGAAGCCAUAGAAAAA